ACGGAGGGAGCUAGCGUUGUUCGGAAUUACUGGGCGUAAAGCGCGCGUAGGCGGUCUAUAAAGUUGGGGGUGAAAUCCCGGAGCUCAACUCCGGAACUGCCUCCAAAACUGCUAGACUCGAGUUCGGAAGAGGUAAGUAGAAUUCCCAGUGUAGAGGUGAAAUUCGUAGAUAUUGGGAAGAAUACCGAGGCGGAGGAGGCUGACUUGACCGUGCCGAG
RNAcentral lists this ribosomal RNA (218 nucleotides) under uncultured bacterium. RNAcentral describes it as "partial 16S ribosomal RNA". It matches the Rfam family "Bacterial small subunit ribosomal RNA", at positions 525 to 744 of the family's 1533-position model. The record is from RNAcentral.